Molecule: long non-coding RNA, 9905 nt
Organism: Passer domesticus (house sparrow)
Lineage: Eukaryota; Metazoa; Chordata; Aves; Passeriformes; Passeridae
Exons: 2
Source: RefSeq, a predicted model, not a curated record
GGGGCUGGGGAGGGGAGAGGAGGGGAGGGAGGGGGCCGGGAAGAGGGGAUGGCAGGAGGAGAGAAGAGGGCAGAGAGGGGAGUGAGGGCUGGCGGCUGCUGCUGCAGGGAACGGGGCUGCGGGAGAGGCAGCGGUGCAGGUAGAGCCGGUCCCAAAGGGGGAAUCUGCGCAUUCCUUCGGUUCUCCCCAGCCCUCGGGAACUGCGCCGUGGGAUGGAGGCAAAAUCCCUCCCUGGGACAGAACCUCCCAAAGGUUCUGGUCGCAAGGAUGAGCCAGGAGGGGAGGGAGGCGGACACCCACAGAUGGGUCUGGCACAGGAGCGCUGGGCUCCUCCGGGAGCUCCUUCCCCAUCCGUGACAGCUCAGCGUCGAGGGGACACUGGGAUAAUUGAACGCUUGAUUAUAAAGUAUUUUUUAGCACUUCUGACUUGGUUAUGCCAGUGACAACCUAUGCAGGAGGUUCUGUGAUUUAUAUUCUCCUCAGGAGAAGAAUAAAAAUGAAUGCCCACCUCAUUAAUCCCUUUUAAAGUUGUGUGUGGAUGGGCUAAACAAACUUCUGUGGUUCUAUCUCCUAAUUAACAAGGAAAUAAUUACAAAAAGUUUCUCAGCUUUACUUUGGUUAAUCACCUCUAUUGUUUCGAGGGUUGGUGCUCCUGCCCUCAGGAGCAGGGAUGUGGGGUGCUGGAAUGGUUCAGGAGCACUUUUUAUAAGUUCUCACCUGAAAAUUUUGCUUGUUCUCCGCUUGCUGUUUCUCCCUACAUAACCACCCCCCCCCAAAAAAGCACCCCUGGCUUAGGAGAUUCCCUGCUUGCUUUUUUAAGGCCGAGAGCAUGAUUUACCUAGAUGUGCUGAAUAGUUAGCCACCGGUGAGGAACAAAUAAAAGUAGUGAAAGCAAAAUCGUGGCUCUGCUGACAGUCCCCGAGUGCUGGGUGCUCAUCAUUGCGGUAACAACACGGCACAAUCUGGUUUUGUCAUCUCAGAAGAUUUAUCCCUCUGAGCUGUGCUUUGGGGGUGAACACCUCACCCUACAGCCCAUGGCAUACAGUGGCAACCUGGAAGCUUUUUUCUCUUUUAAAACACAACUGGGACAAGUCACAGCUUCAUUUAGCUCCAGGUGCGCAUUAUCUGUGACUUACAGGGGUGAGAGGCAGGAGCCUCAUUUUGUUCUCUCUGAAAUAAAACCCAAGCAGCUGAGAGGUCACAGAGCCACUCUUGUUCCAUUUACUGCCCUGCUUUGAUGGUCCUGACACACCUUCAGAAGCUCCAUGUUCUGACAGAGCAGAAGCUGAUUUUGCUAAAAUUUGUAAAUUUAGCAGAGGCAAUUUCGCAUGAGGGAACCUCAGUCUUUAAAUGCCUUGAGAAACUAAAAGUAUUUUAUGAAGACAGCUGGGUAAGGGAGUUCAGCAUCCCCCUGAUUGUGGGUGAGAUUUGGAAUUUCUUUCAAACAGAAGUUGUAAAGCCUGUCAUGGAUGAAAUGCUGCUAAGAGUCGGGGAAAGAGAAGGAUUCCAUGCCACUUCGGGUGAAUAACUAUCUCCAGAAAACACAAGGAAUAAGUAGAUAGGGCACAAGGAAUCAAAAGGAAAGAACUGAUUUGAGAUAAGCUCAGGGUCUUGGAUAUCAGGAAGCACAGUGAUAAAGAAGCAAUUCCCAGAUGUUAAACACAGCACAUCUGGAAAAAGACAGCACUAAAAAAUCUUGAAAGGGGAAAAAACCUCAAACAAUGAAACAAAUAACACCCAAAAAAAGGCAAUUACACAGCAAAGGUGGGCUAGAAAUUAGAGCAUGGGAAAGUUACAACUUAAAGCCAAGAGAGACAUAAUUUUAAACUGGAAAUACUGACUGGAGUAACAAAAGCAAAGUCAGCAGCUACCAGUGAUUUGUAAAGUGAUUUGUAAGACUCAAGAGACCUUCUUGCACUCAGAUCCAAAGAGGACUAUGGAGCCCCUUGCUAGACUAAGAAAUUAAUAAUUUUUGAAAGGAGCUAGCACACUAUGAAACAUUUACUGGGAAGGAUUGGGCAAGAUGUCUUACUUUUGAUAAGUUUGGUCUUUGUAAAGAUGAGUAGAAAUUAAUGCUUACCAAGAAGGCUGUCUUUGUUAGAAUGGGCAUCAUAAAUACUUUUUAUGGGAAAAAGGCACAGACCGGACGUGAUUUAAAAUAAUGAUUAUGUUCUGAUCAUCCAUCUCAGAACUACACUUGUUAAAUUUGCAAUAGCUGCCCAUAAAAGCCACUGCUAUGGUAAAGGAGGGAAAAUCACUGCCAGAAGGCUUGGAUUCUUUAGCUAGCAGCAUCUCUCUUAAAAAGAUGGAAGGAAAUGAAUAGGAAAAAAGCGCAACAUGAUAAAUUAAAUCAGUACUACAAUUAAGAGUUGCCUGGAUAAGACAGGAACACAGCUCUGCAUUUGAAAAAGUAGAACCUAAAACUGGAAGUCCUUGUGGGAUGAAAUUAGAUUUCCUUAGGAAAAAUAUUGUAAAUCUCCCAGGUUUUCGAAAACAUUUGGAUCUGCUGAUCCCAGAGAUUUUCUCCCAUCCUAUUCCCUGACUGUUAUAAAGUAAAAAACCUUGUUUCACAGAGGAUGCCAUUCUAUAAUGGCAUCACAUAGCUGGUGCAGGAGGAUGAGUGAUGCCUCUUUUCCUCCACUUCAAGCCCGGCCAAUUCCAAUCACAAUUGUUCAAAAUGUUGUAUAUAGUGAGUAUUUGGGAAGCAUGCAAGUGUACAUCUGCAUACAGAACAUUUUUCCAGAGAAAAGCUCAUAUAAUGCAUAUUAUUUUUUAAUCCACACUUUUCCCAAGUGAUUAAAUUUUCUUCCCAAACAAGGGUGGCAGACAAUUUUAAGUAAAGCCAGUCAUACUAUUUUGACACUUUGAAACAGAGUGAAAACAUAGGCCACCACUUUGCUAAUGUAGGAUCUAAUUAAACUCGACUCAGUGGGUGUAAGUAAUUUAUUGCAGUGCUGAAAAUUAUGUUUCUCCGUGGCCACAUGGAUUUGACACAUGAAAGCAUUCCCAGCCCUUCAUUACUUGAUUCACCAAAAGCACCCAGUGGUGGAUGUCUAGACCAGUACAGGUAUUGAAAGUAGAAGUGACAAGACAAUUUCUUUUGUCUUGUCACUAAAAAUUUCUUUUCAGCUGUUCCCUUUUCCCCACUGGACUGAAUUCACACUUCUGCAUGUUCAGUGAGUGCCCAACCUUCAUUUGUUAAAUCUUUGCUAAAUAUAAUUUAUUAAACAUGUUUGAUACCUCUGGUGUCUUCAACAUAGAUCUGUUUUACAAGUGUUUGUGGAAAAGACCUUGGAAACUCAUUUGAUUAAACCUCUCUGCUCUAAAGCAAAAACAAAAUUGACCAUUUAACCUGUACCUUGAGCACAGGAAUUCUGCAGAGCUGGUGGUCUGCUAUGGAUGACAGCAGUUUUAGCACAAAGAAGGAUUGAGCUGCAUCCUCUUUUUGCUUGUUUGGUUGAUUUUUACCUGUGAUUUCUUUUCUUUUUACCAUUUGUGUAGUAUUUCUCACCAUAUAUCUGACCAAUCAUUUUGAUUUCUAAUCCUGUCCUCCAAAGUAAUUGUGCUAUCUCCAGAUCAUCAUCAUUAAUCUGGAAAUAGAAUAACUAAUAUAAAAUGAAGUAUUUAAGUGUAGACUAUGAAUUUCUUUUUCUUACUUUGAAGAUUGUCAUUUGACACUGUUUCAAAAGCAUUGCUCAGAUCAGGUAGGCAACAUCUACUUUUAUUUUUUUAUUAUCCAGCCUGUGUGCUUCAUUCUCUGCCUGUGCCUUCCUUGCUUUUUGGAUUUAUCUUUUGAUUAGUUUUGAUGUUCUUGUUUUCACAUAGAAACUUGAAUUAUUUCAUUUUCCAGCAUUAUUUCAGGCCAAGAAAUGAGAUUAGUUGGCCUAACUUUCUUUUCUCCCACCCUUGAAAUAUAGGCACUAUUUUGGUAUAUGCCCGUAAUUUUGCAAACAAAAAAUAAAAACUAGUAAGCAAAAAGUGCUAAAACUAAUUUAUUCCCACUCUAAGUUUAUUCUCAAUAAAAAAAGAAAUAAGUAAAGAGUUAUGAUCUCCUCUCUAUGUGCUUAUUUUUAAAACUUCAAUGCAUGAAGGGUAUUACAGCCAUUUAAGAAGCAAUUUUGAUUGACAUUUUUUUAUUAAUUCACUUACAUAUAUAUACAAGUGAAUAUAUGAUUCAACAUAAAGUCCCUUGCAUAUGCAACAAAUAGAUAAAUUAUUCCACAAUUUUGGUUUCAUCAUUUAUAAAAUUCAAAAGUAUUUUAACAGUGGUUUCACAGCAAUACUUUCACUGCAGAAGGAAAAAAAAAAAUAUGUGUUGCCUGAGGCAUAUUGAAAAGGAACAAAACAUUAAGUGUGACUUAAAUAAGAGAAGAAGAAGAUACUUAAGACACAAGACAACUUGAAAAAAGCAAAAAAAGUGUUGAAGGAUGCCAUGAGGGAACUGUUCAAUGCAAUUAAACAAAAGAUCUCUCAAUGAUGCAAAGCUUCAGCUACAAAAGGAUUACCCAGCUUGGAAUGUCUGAUUCUUCAUCUUUGUGACAGAAAUAAAAAUGUAAAAAAAGUAAGAUAUUUUAACACAUCCUUCCAGAGGUGAUUUGUGUAUUCUGCCUGUAAGACCUCAUUAUAAUUUGGGAAUUUUUUUUAGCAUAGGAGAAGUAGGGUGGACCACUCUACUGAUUUUUUCUUUUUUUUUUUUUUAAUGAUAGCAAAAAGAAGUGAAAUGUCCCUAAUUUAGACAUCUUAACUACCACCAAGCAAAUCCUACUUUAAGGUCUGAAAUCUGUCACCGAAAUGAAGGAGUUAAGAGAGUUAAAAAAAAAAGUAAAAUUAAGCAUUCUCUCUUUUUUCUAGGUGCAGAAAAAGGUAACCAAACUUUAUGUGAAAAAAUUAGUAGUAGAAAUAAGAAAUAAAAUCAAACAGGAGGUUGAAGCUAUCCCUACAUAGACCUCAAACACUUCAGUGUCUAUUUGAAAAUUAUUCAAGUUAAACAAGACGAAAACCCCAGUAGCAAUUAUUGGAUAUUCUGUUUUUAUUUUUGGAAAGAAAACCCCAACAUAGCUGCAAGAGUAAUUCCCAGGUUAAGAAUAUGUAUAUAAUUAAUAGUUAAUUUAAUUUAUCUUAUUCUAGAAGCUCUACCCUGGGGAGUCUGUAGGUGGAGCAGCUAAAAGGGCUCAAUUACUCAGGAGAAACUUCAUCUGGCAUUAAACUCUGACAACAUGUUUUAAGUUGUUUAAACACAUUAAUAAUUUUAUAGCUGGAUGAUUUAAAGUAGCAGUAAUUUUAUACAUUCCUCUAAGCAUUAUUUUCUGACUCAGCUUCUCUUGAACAACAUAUUUAGAAAGACAGGAUUCAGCUGUCCUGAAAUUCACUGAGAUGACUUGUUCUCUGAUAACACCUGAAUUAGGCAAUAUAAUUAUCCUGAUAUAUAUAUAUAUAUAUAUAUGUAUUAUCCUGAUAUAUCUAUAUAUGUGGUUAUUUGUGUAUUACAUAAAUAAUCCAGAACAAAAGGAGUAGUAACAGUUUUCUGUGGUGAUCAUUUUGUGUUUUUCCUGUCCAUUGAACCCACUGAUCUUAGAGGUCUUUUCCAACCUUCACAACUCUUAUGAUUCCAUUAUUGGUUUUGCAAAAAAAAAAGCUUAAUUUUUAAAUGAAAAUAGGUUCAUGGAAUUUAAGUAAAGGUAGACUUUGAUUCAUUUCAUGAUGUAAGAGCUGUGCAAAUGCUGAGUUAAUGGAAUCCCAGAAUGGUUCAGGCAAGGGACCACAGUUGGUCCCAUCUCACUGUUCAAGCAGAGAAAUAAAACCUAUUCUAUAUCUUACAUAAAAUUCUGGUCUAUAAUAUUUCAUGAUAUCACUAUGGAAUGUUUAAAACACCUGUGAUGGAACUUUAUACAUUCAGAACAAUUCAAAGUUUGCAUUAAUGCAUUUCAGCAGCUCUAGGCCAGCAUGUUGUAAUUAUGAAAUGUUAUGUACACAUACAUAACAUUCCUGUAGACUAUAGGAAGGAAAAAUAAUAGGUCAUGCACCACUGCAAACUCCAUAAGAGAACUGGCAGGAAUGUUUGUCCGUGGCUUUCCAGAAAGAUGUAUUUUUUUGAGCACAUUUGAAGCUCCCAAAUUCAGCUGCCAAAUAUUGCCUGCAAAUAUAGGAAUAAGGUUUGGUGUAUAGGCUGCUGCACACAACUCCUUACACAUAUGUAAAGAUAUCUAAAGAUUCAAAGACUUUAAAACAACAUGAACCUGCCUGCUUUCAUUUUUACUUCCUUAAAAACUCAAUUCCAGCCUUUUUAAAAAUAUUACACCCUAAGGUGCAAUCAGUCCUGAUGUUUUUAUUAGGUAAAACAAAUCUGGACUCGAGAUUAUGAAGUCUUAGUUUGCAGACACAUGAAUCUCAAUGUUUGAGGGGCAGAAGCCAUGCUAAUUCCAUACAGAUGUCCUGCUGCAUUCCUGUAAAUUUUCAGACUGAAAAGGAAAUGCUGGUUACACCCCUUUCCCCUUCAGCCUACAGCAGAACAUUUCACAGAUUGCAUAUGUGUCUUGCACGCAGAGGAAAACACAUCUCUGCUAAUUCAAGCGUCAUAUUUACUUCAUGCAUAGAUAUUUACAUAGAUUUCACACCUAUAUAUUUAUUUAUCUAUUACAUAUAUUGAUUUCCCCCGCAAUAAAAAAACUUAGCUUUUGGGAUUAAGGUGGGUUUUAUCCCAACAUGCAAACACAAAAAAAGGAAUAUUUUUGUUCUCUUAGAUGUCUUCCUUUGCUUAGGAAAAAAGCAUAUAUUUGUAUUUUUAGAGGUGUGCAAGUAUACAUAUAUGACUUUAUAUAUGUAACACAUGAAUAUUUUUCAGAAGGACUUGGAGCAGGGGAACUGAAAAAUCCAAACCUGACACAGAAUGUGGCUGUUCUUACAUAGCCAAGAAGGUUCUUUGCACAAAAUAACACUUCAUGCUGGAGCUUUCCAGAGCAGCAGUUAAAACCAAGCCAUGUUCUCCACUGGCUUCCACUGAAGAUGCUGGAGUAAUUUUUCAAAACUCGAAAGCAACAGAAAGUGAAGCCUGUGCUGUAAUUCUCCAAUAAACCACAGGCUGAGUCUCACUUUCUUCAUGGGAACUGAUCUUGCUGCAGAAAUCUGAUGAAACGGUGUCUUUUUUGUGACCAUCAUGAAGAAAAUAAAUGACCAUGACAAAACAGGUGGGCAGUGUUGGUGUUUGGGUGCAUGGCUUUAUCCCCUCUGCUCAUAAUUUCAUGUUGAAUGUGGAAGUUAUGUGCACUAAAUGCUGUAGCAGGCUGAAGAAGAGAAAUGUGUAUUGAAAUAAAGUUCAGGAAAUUCUGUAAAUUCUUUAAGUGGCUCUGAAUUUGUUUCCUGCAAAGGCAGGAAUAGUGAUUUUUUUAAUGUCCUUCCUCAAGCUGAAUAUAUAGUUUUUUAACAUUGGAUUUGUUAAGGCAGUGAAAUACUAACUUUUAUGCUAUAGGGAGCUUUAGAUAUGAGGAUUUUCCUGUAUAUUGUUAGUGACUAUAAGGCUGGGAAGGCAGGUUAUAUGGGUACCACCUUCAGCACAAUUGGCACUUCUAGAAACUUGACUAUUGUAAACUUUAACUUCACCCUGGCUGCCAAAUCCAGCUGUUAGCAUAAAAACCUUUGUGAAAGUUACCAGAAUGUGAUUUUGUACCCCACAGUUGUCACUCACACUCAGCUUACACUGGUUUCUUGUGCUGGCUUUGCUGGCAUGCUCUGUUUAUUUAUGUUUUGCUUUUAUAGACCCAUGUAAAAUUAAUUUACAGCUCUCAAAUAUGUCCAGAGGCUUUCCCUACCUAGGCUGACUUUUGGGAAGUCAGGAAAAAGGUGCCAGACAUCUGCCAGAAUUGUUGGUUCACAGUUCAUUUGACACGAGAUCCUGAACUGAUGAUUUCUUGAGGACAGACAGUAUUUUACACUUGUUAUUGCAUGUAGCAGUCAAAAUAUUAAUAAUAUUUCAAUUUAAAAGGCAAAAUAAUUUGGGGGGUGAUCGUUCAUGCCAGUGAGUGUUAUCUUUUUAGAAGGCAUCUCUUACCAGUCAAGAGAAAUUUAAAUUUUGCAGGUUGUCAGUAUUAGUGGUGCAAGGCUGAGGUGGGGGGCAAUUUUCAGGAUUCAUGUGACCACCUCCCACCCAAUAUUUAUCACUUACAAAACCACAAAAUUGUCACCAAUGUUGUCAUCAAUAGUCAUAAAUUUAGGACUGUUAGCACGAUUCUUCACUUGCAGCCAUUUCUGCUUCAGAGUAAACCUGGUAUAAAAUUUAGUGCACUAAAAUUGAAAUUAUAGUUCUCAUCCUCACCUUUCUGAUUGAAGUUUAUCAGCAUUUGCUUGAAAUAUAAGUGGCAGCAUAACUCAUACCUGUCUGCUAGCAGAAAAGGUGAACUUUCUUUAGCACAAUAGGUCCUGAGAGCCUCUACUUAGCACUCUCCACUAAUGAAUUGUAAAAACUAAACUUUUCAACACUUCGCACACUAAAGCAAGGGUUCCAAAAUCUCCAGCUACACAAUUAAAAAUACAUUGUUUUUUCAGGUGGGAGGUCCAUUUUAUAUCCCAGGAUAAAUUCAAUGUUAAAAGACUAUAAAUUUAGCUUGAGGAAGGACUUUUUAAAAAAAAUCACUAUUCCUUCAUUUGCAGGAAACAAAUUCAGAGCCACUAGAAGUGCCAUUGUGAGAAAAAAGGCCUCUGGAAACUGAGCAUGUUGAGAAUUUUUCUUGGAAAUGUGUGAAGAUCUGUCUUCUGUUUUCAUUUUUAUUUUUCAUUUCUGAGAGUUCCUUUUCAAAACUAGAAUUCCAUUUAUUGUGACAUAAAGGGUUCAGUAGAACACCUAAACUUUGGGAUUAUUUAUAUUCUGGUUUUGUGGUAGAAAUUUUAUGUCAUAUCUUCAGUGUUUGGGGAUCUCAGGCAAUGAGAAAUACACAAAAUAAGAUUUCAGAGUCCAUAAAUUCAAUGAAACAGCCUUGAUAAUGAUGAAUUAUAAUAUUAAUAAUACAUUAUUAAUAACAAUCCUUAAAAUCUGCUGUGUAGCCACAGUGGAAUAAGUGACCAAGACAUGCAGCUGACACAUGGCAGUGGUAUGCUUUAAUUAGCUAAGUCUAUGAAAAUGAGGAAACUGGUCUAAAAUUAGCAAUUACAGGUUUUCCAGAACUUUGCUGGAAAUUUCCAGUACUGGUUCCCUAGAGAAAUUAAACUGUGAAAAUGAAGUAAUGGUUGAAUGUGUUGAAACAAUAAAAUAGCUGGAAAUAAUCUUCAUGAAACCAGGACAUUUAUCUCCAGGAAAUGGUGGAUUUCAUGGACUGAUCUCAUAAAAUCACCAAAUUCAUCUCCAGAUUUCAUAGGCUGCCUCUCAGAAGUGUGUGGUAUCUCCAUUUUUCUGGGAUUUCACUGGUUUUGGCAAAAUCACCUGCUGUUGGAGUUUCUCACAGGUCCAGCCAGCAGCUGUAACCCAAAAAAGAUGAGGACAGUUUUUCUCUAAGUCAUCAUCAUGCCUUUGCAUUCCUGGGUGGAUCAGCAGCUGAGCUGGUUUCCAGCAGUUUAUCCAUGGGUGAGGGAUCAUCAAGGCUGCACAGCCUCCCUAAGGAUAUCUGAACUUCCUGGAAUUCCUGCUGUGCUAUGUAACUGUGCAACUUCUGAUCCCAGCCAAUCUAGAAAUCAUGGACUGCAGUUUGUGUUUGGAUGUAUUCUGUCAAUUUGUGUCCAGGAUGUCUUCCCAGGUAAUCUGGUAGGUUUUGGGCUCAGACCCAGUCUCAGCCCAAACACUGGAACCCUCCUGAGUCUGAGCAAGUACAACAAUUCCUGUUUUCCUAGGAGCUCAUAAUGUAAUGGAAUUAUCUUUAGUUUAUAUACAGGAAAAAAAAAAAAAAAAAAAAAAAAAAAAAAAAAAAAAAAAAAGGGAAAAG